Molecule: unclassified non-coding RNA, 153 nt
Filed under: Diaporthe sojae
Lineage: Eukaryota; Fungi; Ascomycota; Sordariomycetes; Diaporthales; Diaporthaceae
Description: partial ITS2
Source: RNAcentral
UCAACCCUCAAGCCUGGUUUGGUGAUGGGGCACUGUCUGUAAAAGGGCAGGUCUGAAAUUCAGUGGCGAGCUCGCCAGGCCCCAGCGCAGUAGUUAAACCCUCGCUUGGAAGGCCCUGGCGGUGCCCGGGGGUUGAGGAAUGAUAGGAAUAGG